GAUGUUGAUGCAACCCUGGAGCAUGUGCAGG
RNAcentral lists this non-coding RNA (31 nucleotides) under Homo sapiens (human). The record is from RNAcentral. Lineage: Eukaryota; Metazoa; Chordata; Mammalia; Primates; Hominidae.